ACGGGAGGCAGCAGUGGGGGAUAUUGCACAAUGGGGGAAACCCUGAUGCAGCGACGCCGCGUGAGUGAAGAAGUAUUUCGGUAUGUAAAGCUCUUUAAGCUGGAAAGAUAAUGACGGUACCAGCAGAAUAAGCCCCGGCUAACUACGUGCCAGCAGCCGCGGUAAUACGUAGGGGGCAAGCGUUAUCCGGAUUUACUGGGUGUAAAGGGAGCGUAGACGGUAUGGCAAGUCUGAAGUGAAAUGCCAGGGCUUAACCCUGGAACUGCUUUGGAAACUGUCGUACUAGAGUGCAGGAGAGGUAAGUGGAAUUCCUAGUGUAGCGGUGAAAUGCGUAGAUAUUAGGAGGAACACCAGUGGCGAAGGCGGCUUACUGGACUGUAACUGACGUUGAGGCUCGAAAGCGUGGGGAGCAAACAGGAUUAGAUACCCUGGUA
This 434-nucleotide ribosomal RNA is filed under the name uncultured Clostridium sp. RNAcentral describes it as "partial 16S ribosomal RNA". It matches the Rfam family "Bacterial small subunit ribosomal RNA", at positions 341 to 792 of the family's 1533-position model. Lineage: Bacteria; Bacillati; Bacillota; Clostridia; Eubacteriales; Clostridiaceae. The record is from RNAcentral.